UUCGCUUCUUGUUUUUUUGGCUAAGAUCGAGUAUAGUAUCUGUUCUUAUCAGUUUAAUAUCUGAUACGUCCCCUAUCUGAAGACCAUUUAUUAAAUGGAUUUUUGGAACAGGGGAUGGAAAAAGAAUUUGCUCUGUCCACUGCACACUUUGGCCUGUUAUGGCAGUUCCGCCAGGAGUGGUACUUCAC
Molecule: small nuclear RNA, 188 nt
Organism: Bombina bombina (fire-bellied toad)
Lineage: Eukaryota; Metazoa; Chordata; Amphibia; Anura; Bombinatoridae
Product: U2 spliceosomal RNA
Exons: 1
Source: RefSeq, a predicted model, not a curated record